ACUGAAUAGAUACCCUGGUAGUCCACGCCGUAAACGAUGAUCACUCGCUGUUGGCGAUACACAGUCAGCGGCUAAGCAAAAGCAUUAAGUGAUCCACCUGGGGAGUACGGCCGCAAGGCUGAAACUCAAAGGAAUUGACGGGGGCCCGCACAAGCGGAGGAACAUGUGGUUUAAUUCGAUGAUACGCGAGGAACCUUACCUGGGCUUAAAUGUAGAGUGCAUUGGUGAGAAAUCAUCAUUUUCUUCGGAACUCUCUGCAAGGUGCUGCAUGGUUGUCGUCAGCUCGUGCCGUGAGGUGUCGGGUUUAAGUCCCAUAACGAGCGCAACCCUUAUCGUUAGUUGCCAGCGGGUAAUGCCGGGGUACUCUAGCGAAACUGCCGGUGUAAACCGAGAGGAAGGUGGGGAUGACGUCAAAUCAGCACGGCCCUUAUGUCCAGGGCUACACACGUGUUACAAUGGCCGGUACAGAGGGCAGCUACCUGGAGACAGGAUGCGAAUCUCGAAAGCCGGUCUCAGUUCGGAUCGGA
RNAcentral lists this ribosomal RNA (527 nucleotides) under uncultured bacterium. RNAcentral describes it as "bacterial SSU rRNA". It matches the Rfam family "Bacterial small subunit ribosomal RNA", at positions 772 to 1302 of the family's 1533-position model. The record is from RNAcentral.